Molecule: ribosomal RNA, 373 nt
Filed under: uncultured organism
Description: partial 16S ribosomal RNA
Rfam family: Bacterial small subunit ribosomal RNA
Source: RNAcentral
GUAGGUGGCAAGCGUUGUCCGGAAUUAUUGGGCGUAAAGCGCGCGCAGGGCGGUCCUUUAAGUCUGAUGCGAAAGCCCACGGCUCAACCGUGGAGGGUCAUUGGAAACUGGGGGACUUGAGUACAGAAGAGGAAAGCGGAAUUCCAAGUGUAGCGGUGAAAUGCGUAGAGAUUUGGAGGAACACCAGUGGCGAAGGCGGCUUUCUGGUCUGUAACUGACGCUGAGGCGCGAAAGCGUGGGGAGCAAACAGGAUUAGAUACCCUCGGUAGUCCACGCCGUAAACGAUGAGUGCUAAGUGUUAGGGGGUUUCCGCCCCUUAGUGCUGCAGCUAACGCAUUAAGCACUCCGCCUGGGGAGUACGGCCGCAAGGCUG